GAGAUUCCCCCAGUAGCGGCGAGCGAACGGGGAGCAGCCCAGAGCCUGAAUCAGUGUGUGUGUUAGUGGAAGCGUCUGGAAAGGCGCGCGAUACAGGGUGACAGCCCCGUACACAAAAAUGCACAUGCUGUGAGCUCGAUGAGUAGGGCGGGACACGUGGUAUCCUGUCUGAAUAUGGGGGGACCAUCCUCCAAGGCUAAAUACUCCUGACUGACCGAUAGUGAACCAGUACCGUGAGGGAAAGGCGAAAAGAACCCCGGCGAGGGGAGUGAAAAAGAACCUGAAACCGUGUACGUACAAGCAGUGGGAGCACAGAGCAAUCUGUGUGACUGCGUACCUUUUGUAUAAUGGGUCAGCGACUUAUAUUCUGUAGCAAGGUUAACCGAAUAGGGGAGCCGAAGGGAAACCGAGUCUUAACUGGGCGUUAAGUUGCAGGGUAUAGACCCGAAACCCGGUGAUCUAGCCAUGGGCAGGUUGAAGGUUGGGUAACACUAACUGGAGGACCGAACCGACUAAUGUUGAAAAAUUAGCGGAUGACUUGUGGCUGGGGGUGAAAGGCCAAUCAAACCGGGAGAUAGCUGGUUCUCCCCGAAAGCUAUUUAGGUAGCGCCUCGUGAAUUCAUCUCCGGGGGUAGAGCACUGUUUCGGCAAGGGGGUCAUCCCGACUUACCAACCCGAUGCAAACUGCGAAUACCGGAGAAUGUUAUCACGGGAGACACACGGCGGGUGCUAACGUCCGUCGUGAAGAGGGAAACAACCCAGACCGCCAGCUAAGGUCCCAAAGUCAUGGUUAAGUGGGAAACGAUGUGGGAAGGCCCAGACAGCCAGGAUGUUGGCUUAGAAGCAGCCAUCAUUUAAAGAAAGCGUAAUAGCUCACUGGUCGAGUCGGCCUGCGCGGAAGAUGUAACGGGGCUAAACCAUGCACCGAAGCUGCGGCAGCGACGCUUAUGCGUUGUUGGGUAGGGGAGCGUUCUGUAAGCCUGCGAAGGUGUGCUGUGAGGCAUGCUGGAGGUAUCAGAAGUGCGAAUGCUGACAUAAGUAACGAUAAAGCGGGUGAAAAGCCCGCUCGCCGGAAGACCAAGGGUUCCUGUCCAACGUUAAUCGGGGCAGGGUGAGUCGACCCCUAAGGCGAGGCCGAAAGGCGUAGUCGAUGGGAAACAGGUUAAUAUUCCUGUACUUGGUGUUACUGCGAAGGGGGGACGGAGAAGGCUAUGUUGGCCGGGCGACGGUUGUCCCGGUUUAAGCGUGUAGGCUGGU
This 1257-nucleotide ribosomal RNA is filed under the name Escherichia coli. RNAcentral describes it as "partial 23S ribosomal RNA". It matches the Rfam family "Bacterial large subunit ribosomal RNA", at positions 231 to 1529 of the family's 2925-position model. The record is from RNAcentral. Lineage: Bacteria; Pseudomonadati; Pseudomonadota; Gammaproteobacteria; Enterobacterales; Enterobacteriaceae.